CACGGGGGGAGCAAGCGUUGUUCGGAAUUACUGGGCGUAAAGGGCGCGUAGGCGGCCUUCUAAGUCGAACGUGAAAUCCCCGGGCUCAACCCGGGAACUGCGUCCGAUACUGGAAGGCUUGAAUCCGGGAGAGGGAUGCGGAAUUCCAGGUGUAGCGGUGAAAUGCGUAGAUAUCUGGAGGAACACCGGUGGCGAAGGCGGCAUCCUGGACCAAUUCUGACGCUGAGGAGCGAAAGCCAGGGGAGCAAACGGG
Molecule: ribosomal RNA, 253 nt
Filed under: uncultured prokaryote
Description: partial 16S ribosomal RNA
Rfam family: Bacterial small subunit ribosomal RNA
Source: RNAcentral